AGAGUUUGAUCCUGGCUCAGGAUGAACGCUGGCGGCGUGCCUAAUACAUGCAAGUCGAGCGAACGGACGAGAAGCUUGCUUCUCUGAUGUUAGCGGCGGACGGGUGAGUAACACGUGGAUAACCUACCUAUAAGACUGGGAUAACUUCGGGAAACCGGAGCUAAUACCGGAUAAUAUUUUGAACCGCAUGGUUCAAAAGUGAAAGACGGUCUUGCUGUCACUUAUAGAUGGAUCCGCGCUGCAUUAGCUAGUUGGUAAGGUAACGGCUUACCAAGGCAACGAUGCAUAGCCGACCUGAGAGGGUGAUCGGCCACACUGGAACUGAGACACGGUCCAGACUCCUACGGGAGGCAGCAGUAGGGAAUCUUCCGCAAUGGGCGAAAGCCUGACGGAGCAACGCCGCGUGAGUGAUGAAGGUCUUCGGAUCGUAAAACUCUGUUAUUAGGGAAGAACAUAUGUGUAAGUAACUGUGCACAUCUUGACGGUACCUAAUCAGAAAGCCACGGCUAACUACGUGCCAGCAGCCGCGGUAAUACGUAGGUGGCAAGCGUUAUCCGGAAUUAUUGGGCGUAAAGCGCGCGUAGGCGGUUUUUUAAGUCUGAUGUGAAAGCCCACGGCUCAACCGUGGAGGGUCAUUGGAAACUGGAAAACUUGAGUGCAGAAGAGGAAAGUGGAAUUCCAUGUGUAGCGGUGAAAUGCGCAGAGAUAUGGAGGAACACCAGUGGCGAAGGCGACUUUCUGGUCUGUAACUGACGCUGAUGUGCGAAAGCGUGGGGAUCAAACAGGAUUAGAUACCCUGGUAGUCCACGCCGUAAACGAUGAGUGCUAAGUGUUAGGGGGGUUUCCGCCCCUUAGUGCUGCAGCUAACGCAUUAAGCACUCCGCCUGGGGAGUACGACCGCAAGGUUGAAACUCAAAGGAAUUGACGGGGACCCGCACAAGCGGUGGAGCAUGUGGUUUAAUUCGAAGCAACGCGAAGAACCUUACCAAAUCUUGACAUCCUUUGACAACUCUAGAGAUAGAGCCUUCCCCUUCGGGGGACAAAGUGACAGGUGGUGCAUGGUUGUCGUCAGCUCGUGUCGUGAGAUGUUGGGUUAAGUCCCGCAACGAGCGCAACCCUUAAGCUUAGUUGCCAUCAUUAAGUUGGGCACUCUAAGUUGACUGCCGGUGACAAACCGGAGGAAGGUGGGGAUGACGUCAAAUCAUCAUGCCCCUUAUGAUUUGGGCUACACACGUGCUACAAUGGACAAUACAAAGGGCAGCGAAACCGCGAGGUCAAGCAAAUCCCAUAAAGUUGUUCUCAGUUCGGAUUGUAGUCUGCAACUCGACUACAUGAAGCUGGAAUCGCUAGUAAUCGUAGAUCAGCAUGCUACGGUGAAUACGUUCCCGGGUCUUGUACACACCGCCCGUCACACCACGAGAGUUUGUAACACCCGAAGCCGGUGGAGUAACCUUUUAGGAGCUAGCCGUCGAAGGUGGGACAAAUGAUUGGGGUGAAGUCGUAACAAGGUAGCCGUAUCGGAAGGUGCGGCUGGAUCACCU
RNAcentral lists this ribosomal RNA (1541 nucleotides) under Staphylococcus aureus. RNAcentral describes it as "16S ribosomal RNA". It matches the Rfam family "Bacterial small subunit ribosomal RNA". The record is from RNAcentral. Lineage: Bacteria; Bacillati; Bacillota; Bacilli; Caryophanales; Staphylococcaceae. RNAcentral also lists the same sequence under 1 other name.